ACGGGGCCCGCACAAGCAGCGGAGCGUGUUGGUUUAAUUCGAUGCAACGCGAAGAACCUUACCAGGGUUUGACAUGCUUAAAGUAGGAACUCGAAAGAGGGACGACCUGUAUCCAGUCAGGAGUUUGCACAGGUGCUGCAUGGCUGUCGUCAGCUCGUGCCGUGAGGUGUUAGGUUAAGUCCUGCAACGAGCGCAACCCUCGUCGCUAGUUGUUUUCUCUAGCGAUACUGCCCGUAUAACGUGGAGGAAGGUGGGGAUGACGUCAAGUCAGCAUGGCCCUUACAUCCUGGGCUACACACACGCUACAAUGGGUGAUACAACAGGUUGCAAUAGAGUAAUCUGGAGCCAAUCCCUAAAAUCAUCCUCAGUACGGAUUGCAGGCUGCAACUGCCUGCAUGAAGUUGGAGUUGCUAGUAAACGCAGGUCAGCACACUGCGUUGAAUACGUUCUCGGGCCUU
This 458-nucleotide ribosomal RNA is filed under the name uncultured Chloroflexota bacterium. Its description in RNAcentral is "bacterial SSU rRNA". It matches the Rfam family "Bacterial small subunit ribosomal RNA", at positions 916 to 1381 of the family's 1533-position model. Lineage: Bacteria; Bacillati; Chloroflexota. The record is from RNAcentral.